Molecule: ribosomal RNA, 467 nt
Filed under: uncultured bacterium
Lineage: Bacteria
Description: partial 16S ribosomal RNA
Rfam family: Bacterial small subunit ribosomal RNA
Source: RNAcentral
GACGAACGCUGGCGGCGUGCUUAACACAUGCAAGUCGAACGGAAGGGCCCUGCUUUUGUGGGGUGCUCGAGUGGCGAACGGGUGAGUAACACGUGAGUAACCUGCCCUUGACUUUGGGAUAACUUCAGGAAACUGGGGCUAAUACCGGAUAGGAGCUCCUGCUGCAUGGUGGGGGUUGGAAAGUUUCGGCGGUUGGGGAUGGACUCGCGGCUUAUCAGCUUGUUGGUGGGGUAGUGGCUUACCAAGGCUUUGAGGGGUAGCCGGCCUGAGAGGGUGACCGGCAAAUUGGGGAUGGGGUACCGGCCAGACUCCUACGGGAGGCAGCAGUGGGGAAUAUUGCACAAUGGGCGGAAGCCUGAUGCAGCAACGCCGCGUGCGGGAUGACGGCCUUCGGGUUGUAAACCGCUUUCGCCUGUGACGAAGCGUGAGUGACGGUAAUGGGUAAAGAAGCACCGGCUAACUACGUG